RNAcentral lists this long non-coding RNA (424 nucleotides) under Populus tremula. RNAcentral describes it as "long non-coding RNA (PTRE_LNC003491)". Lineage: Eukaryota; Viridiplantae; Streptophyta; Magnoliopsida; Malpighiales; Salicaceae. The record is from RNAcentral.
UGGGAGGGAGGGGUAAAACUGGUUUUAGAUAAACCAAACAAGGAUAAGGACACACCUAAACCAACCCCCAAACAACCCAAUUCAUUUGAUGGGUAGUAUAAAUACAAAGAGGGGAGAGAGAAUGACCCAUCUUCUUCCCAAACCAGCAGCUGCAUGUCAUUCUUCCCUUCCCCUUUCACAACAGAAACGUGAAUCACACCAGUAGAGAGUGUCUUGUGAGCUUGUGAGGGAGAGAUGAGACCUUGAGAGAGGAGUGGGCAGCUGCAUAGAGGAGAGGAAAAAGAGAGCUGGAAAACGUGAGAGGAAGAAGGAGGAGGAGAACCAGCAGCUGAAGAGAAAAGAAUAGUGUCAAACCUUCCUCAAACUUAGUUAAAUUCAGAAGGUAUGGGUCAUGAAACUCCCUUCCUCUUCCCCUUAAAAUCAG